This 253-nucleotide ribosomal RNA is filed under the name uncultured bacterium. Its description in RNAcentral is "partial 16S ribosomal RNA". It matches the Rfam family "Bacterial small subunit ribosomal RNA", at positions 524 to 776 of the family's 1533-position model. The record is from RNAcentral.
GACGGAAGGUGCAAGCGUUGCUCGGAAUCACUGGGCGUAAAGGGUGCGUAGGCGGCCGUGCAAGUCUGGCGUGAAAGCCCCGGGCUCAGCCCGGGAAGUGCGCUCGAAACUGCGCGGCUCGAGUGCCGGAGGGGAGAGUGGAAUUCCUGGUGUAGCGGUGAAAUGCGUAGAUAUCAGGAGGAAUACCGGUGGCGAAAGCGGCAUCCUGGACCGGCAUUGACGCUGAGGCGCGAAAGCCAGGGGAGCAAACGGG